AGCUUUGCAUGAUGGUGGUAUCAGAGCCAAUGAUGUUUCUCUGAGGUGUGAUUAUUGCUAAUUAAAAAUAUGACUCAAGAGGAAUUAGAAAGCUAUCUAGUAGUCCCAUCUUUCUCUCCUGCAUACAGCUCUCUAGUUCUAUGGGUGGAAUCACUUCUUAG
RNAcentral lists this small nuclear RNA (161 nucleotides) under Heterocephalus glaber (naked mole-rat). RNAcentral describes it as "U4 spliceosomal RNA". The record is from Rfam by way of RNAcentral. Lineage: Eukaryota; Metazoa; Chordata; Mammalia; Rodentia; Bathyergidae.